RNAcentral lists this ribosomal RNA (492 nucleotides) under uncultured bacterium. RNAcentral's name for it is "partial 16S ribosomal RNA". It matches the Rfam family "Bacterial small subunit ribosomal RNA", at positions 29 to 507 of the family's 1533-position model. The record is from RNAcentral.
AGUGAACGCUGGCGGUAGGCCUAACACAUGCAAGUCGAACGGCAGCACAGUAAGAGCUUGCUCUUACGGGUGGCGAGUGGCGGACGGGUGAGGAAUACAUCGGAAUCUACUUUUUCGUGGGGGAUAACGUAGGGAAACUUACGCUAAUACCUCAUACGACCUACGGGUGAAAGCAGGGGAUCUUCGGACCUUGCGCGAUUGAAUGAGCCGAUGUCGGAUUAGCUAGUUGGCGGGGUAAAGGCCCACCAAGGCGACGAUCCGUAGCUGGUCUGAGAGGAUGAUCAGCCACACUGGAACUGAGACACGGUCCAGACUCAUACGGGAGGCAGCAGUGGGGAAUAUUGGACAAUGGGCGCAAGCCUGAUCCAGCCAUACCGCGUGGGUGAAGAAGGCCUUCGGGUUGUAAAGCCCUUUUGUUGGGAAAGAAAAGCAGCAGGUUAAUACCCCGCUGUUCUGACGGUACCAAAAGAAUAAGCACCGGCUAACUUCGUG